CAAUAGCGUAUAUUAAAGUUGUUGCGGUUAAAAAGCUCGUAGUUGGAUUUCUGCUGAGGACGAUCGGUCCGCCCUCUGGGUGAGCAUUGACUCGGCCUUGGCAUCUUCUUGGAGAACGCUACUGCACUUGACUGUGUGGUGCGGUAUCCAGGACUUUUACUUUGAGGAAAUUAGAGUGUUUCAAGCAGGCGCACGCCUUGAAUACAUUAGCAUGGAAUAAUAGGAUAGGACCUUGGUUCUAUUUUGUUGGUUUCUAGGACUAAGAUAAUGAUUAAUAGGGACAAUUGGGGGCAUUCGUAUUGCGGUGUCAGAGGUGGAAUUCUUAGAUUACUGCACGACGAACUACUGCGAAAGCAUUUGCCAAGGAUGUUUUCAUUGAUCAAGAACGAAAGUAAGGGGAUCGAAGAUGAUCAGAUACCAU
RNAcentral lists this ribosomal RNA (421 nucleotides) under uncultured eukaryote. RNAcentral's name for it is "SSU rRNA". It matches the Rfam family "Eukaryotic small subunit ribosomal RNA", at positions 592 to 1018 of the family's 1831-position model. The record is from RNAcentral.